ACUCCUACGGGAGGCAGCAGUGGGGAAUAUUGCACAAUGGGCGCAAGCCUGAUGCAGCCAUGCCGCGUGUAUGAAGAAGGCCUUCGGUUGUAAAGUACUUUCAGCAGUGAGGAAGGCAGGUACGUUAAUAGCGUGCUUGUUUGACGUUAGCUGCAGAAGAAGCACCGGCUAACUCCGUGCCAGCAGCCGCGGUAAUACGGAGGGUGCGAGCGUUAAUCGGAAUUACUGGGCGUAAAGCGCAUGCAGGUGGUUUGUUAAGUCAGAUGUGAAAGCCCGGGGCUCAACCUCGGAAUUGCAUUUGAAACUGGCAGACUAGAGUACUGUAGAGGGGGUAGAAUUUCAGGUGUAGCGGUGAAAUGCGUAGAGAUCUGAAGGAAUACCGGUGGCGAAGGCGGCCCCCUGGACAGAUACUGACACUCAGAUGCGAAAGCUGGGGAGCAAACAGGAUUAGAUACCCUGGUAGGAUAGC
Molecule: ribosomal RNA, 469 nt
Filed under: uncultured bacterium
Lineage: Bacteria
Description: bacterial SSU rRNA
Rfam family: Bacterial small subunit ribosomal RNA
Source: RNAcentral